GAUGAACGCUGGCGGCGUGCUUAACACAUGCAAGUCGAACGAGAAGUGAAGACGGAAACCUUCGGGCGGAAGGCUUUAUUUCGAGUGGCGGACGGGUGAGUAACGCGUGGGUAACCUGCCUCAUACAGGGGGAUAACAGUUAGAAACGACUGUUAAUACCGCAUAAGACCACAGCACCGCAUGGUGCGGGGGUAAAAACUCCGGUGGUAUGAGAUGGACCCGCGUUCGAUUAGCCAGUUGGCGGGGUAACGGCCCACCAAAGCGACGAUCGAUAGCCGAUCUGAGAGGAUGACCGGCCACAUUGGGACUGAGACACGGCCCAAACUCCUACGGGAGGCAGCAGUGGGGAAUAUUGCACAAUGGGGGAAACCCUGAUGCAGCGACGCCGCGUGAGUGAAGAAGUAUUUCGGUAUGUAAAGCUCUAUCAGCAGGGAAGAAAAUGACGGUACCUGAGUAAGAAGCCCCGGCUAACUACGUG
This 478-nucleotide ribosomal RNA is filed under the name uncultured bacterium. RNAcentral describes it as "partial 16S ribosomal RNA". It matches the Rfam family "Bacterial small subunit ribosomal RNA", at positions 28 to 507 of the family's 1533-position model. The record is from RNAcentral.